AUACUUACCUGGCAGGGGAGAUACCAUGAUCACCAAAGGUGGUUUUCCCAGAGUGAGGCCUAUCCAUUGCACUCUGGGUAUGUUGACCCCUGUGAUUGCUCAAAAUUUGGGAAACUUGACUGCAUAUUUUGUGGUAGUAGGGGAUUGUGUUCACACUCGUUCCUG
Molecule: small nuclear RNA, 165 nt
Organism: Sorex araneus (European shrew)
Lineage: Eukaryota; Metazoa; Chordata; Mammalia; Eulipotyphla; Soricidae
Gene: U1
Rfam family: U1 spliceosomal RNA
About the family: U1 is a small nuclear RNA (snRNA) component of the spliceosome (involved in pre-mRNA splicing). Its 5' end forms complementary base pairs with the 5' splice junction, thus defining the 5' donor site of an intron.
Source: Ensembl